CCUACGGGUGGCAGCAGUGAGGAAUAUUGGUCAAUGGGCGCGAGCCUGAACCAGCCAAGUAGCGUGAAGGAAUACUGCCCUACGGGUUGUAAACUGCUUUUCUAAGAGAAUAAAGUGCGACACGUGUACCUGUUUGUAUGUAUCUUAUGAAUAAGGAUCGGCUAACUCCGUGCCAGCAGCCGCGGUAAUACGGAGGAUUCAAGCGUUAUCCGGAUUUAUUGGGUUUAAAGGGUGCGUAGUUGGUUCGAUAAGUUAGAUGUGAAAGCCCGGGGCUCAACCCCGGAACUGCCUCUGAUACUGUCGGGCUAGAGUUUAGUUGCGGUAGGCGGAAUGUAUGGUGUAGCGGUGAAAUGCAUAGAGAUCAUACAGAACACCGAUUGCGAAGGCAGCUUACCAAACUACGACUGACGUUGAGGCACGAAAGCGUGGGGAGCAAACAGGAUUAGAUACCCUAGUAGUC
This 460-nucleotide ribosomal RNA is filed under the name uncultured bacterium. Its description in RNAcentral is "partial 16S ribosomal RNA". It matches the Rfam family "Bacterial small subunit ribosomal RNA", at positions 338 to 795 of the family's 1533-position model. The record is from RNAcentral.